GGGGAAGCAAUGGGUUCGACGGGGAUUUUUAGCAUAUAGAUAGCGGGUAGAGUGUGACCUCUUAAAAAGUCUAAAGCGUAUUUAAACGCAGGCAGUAAAGGUAAAAAAGAUGAGCAUAACGUAAUCUUUGCAGAUUUUUCUGGAGAGGGCGCUAUCGCUGCUUAAAUGCAGACAUCCGUCUAAUCGGGUAGACCACGGCCUGAACUAGGCGUCACUUUGUGGUGAACGUUGCCUUAGAAAUUUCCUGGUCUUUGGCGAUGAAUUAAGGAAUAUUGCGGCGGUGUUUUUGUUCGUUGGCGUACUGCAGCAAGAAUAAAGAAAACGAACUGCACCUGGAGAGGUCUAUAUGCAAAGGUUCUCGGACAGGGGUUCGAUUCCCCUCUUCUCCACCA
RNAcentral lists this transfer-messenger RNA (392 nucleotides) under Oscillospiraceae bacterium. It matches the Rfam family "transfer-messenger RNA". From Rfam's summary of the family: Bacterial tmRNA, also known as 10Sa RNA or SsrA, is named for its dual tRNA and mRNA-like properties. The record is from RNAcentral. Lineage: Bacteria; Bacillati; Bacillota; Clostridia; Eubacteriales; Oscillospiraceae.